Molecule: ribosomal RNA, 595 nt
Filed under: uncultured Bacteroidota bacterium
Lineage: Bacteria; Pseudomonadati; Bacteroidota
Description: bacterial SSU rRNA
Rfam family: Bacterial small subunit ribosomal RNA
Source: RNAcentral
CAACCNGCCNGUUACCACGGCACAGCCCGUCGAAAGGCGGAUUAAUGCCGUAUGUGGUCCUUNGCGGGCAUCUAAUUAGGACUAAAGGUUCAGCGGUAACGGAUGGGGAUGCGUCCGAUUAGCUAGACGGCGGGGUAACGGCCCACCGUGGCGACGAUCGGUAGGGGUUCUGAGAGGAAGGUCCCCCACACUGGAACUGAGACACGGUCCAGACUCCUACGGGAGGCAGCAGUGAGGAAUAUUGGUCAAUGGGCGUAAGCCUGAACCAGCCAAGUAGCGUGAGGGAAGACUGCCCUAUGGGUUGUAAACCUCUUUUGUGCGGGGAUAAAGUGAGGGACGUGUCCCUUAUUGCAGGUACCGCACGAAUAAGGACCGGCUAAUUCCGUGCCAGCAGCCGCGGUAAUACGGAAGGNCGGGGCGUUAUCCGGGUUUAUUGGGUUUAAAGGGAGCGCAGGCCGUCCUUUAAGCGUGCUGUGAAAUGCCGCGGCUCAACCGUGGCACUGCAGCGCGAACUGGAGGACUUGAGUACGCACGAGGUANGCGGAAUUCGUGGUGUAGCGGUGAAAUGCUUAGAUAUCACGAAGAACUCCGAUUG